CUAGUAACGGCGAGUGAAGCGGGAAAAGCUCAAUUUUGAAAUCUCACUGGUUUCCAGUGCGAAUUGUAGUUUCAAGGAACGUUUUCGGGGACGGCCUGGGUCCAAGUCCGUUGGAAUACGGCAUCAGAGAGGGUGAGAAUCCCGUUCGAUCCGGUGUCCGUUCCUAUGUGAUACGUUUCCAAAGAGUCGGAUAGUUUGGGAUUGCUGUCCAAAAUGGGUGGUAAAUACCAUCUAAAGCUAAAUAUUGGCGAGAGACCGAUAGCGAACAAGUACCGUGAGGGAAAGAUGAAAAGAACUUUGAAAAGAGAGUUAAAAGUACGUGAAAUUGUCAAAAGGGAAGCGCUUGAAACCAGUGUUGCGGUGCGGAAAUCAGUCGUCCCUCAGGGCGGUGCACUUUUCGUAUCGCGGGUCAGCAUCGGUUUGGUUUGGAGUAAAAAGCCGUAGGAAGGUAGCCCCUCUCGGGGGGUGUUAUAGCCUGCGGUCAUGCUCUGGACUGGACCGAGGACCGCAGCUGUGUUAUUGGGUACCCUGCCGCCUCUGACUGCCCAGUUGUAGACAACUUGUUGACUGCUACUGACGUUGAAGAGCCCGGUGGGCUUGCCACACCUCAGCUUAGGAUGCUGACGAAAUGGUUUUAAACGACCCGUCUUGAAACACGGACCAAGGAGUCCAACACACAUGCGAGUGUUUGGGUGGCAAACCCGAGCGCGUAAUGAAAGUAAAUGUAGGUGGGAUGCUUUACGGCUGCACCAUCGACCGGUCUGGAUUUUUUUGAAAGAUCUGAGUAAGAGCAUGUUUGUUGGGACCCGAAAGAUGGUGAACUAUGCCUGAAUAGGGUGAAGCCAGAGGAAACUCUGGUGGAGGCUCGUAGCGGUUCUGACGUGCAAAUCGAUCGUCAAAUUUGGGUAUAGGGG
This 914-nucleotide ribosomal RNA is filed under the name Rhizophydium planktonicum. RNAcentral's name for it is "eukaryotic LSU rRNA". It matches the Rfam family "Eukaryotic large subunit ribosomal RNA", at positions 80 to 923 of the family's 3401-position model. The record is from RNAcentral. Lineage: Eukaryota; Fungi; Chytridiomycota; Chytridiomycetes; Rhizophydiales; Rhizophydiaceae.